GACGAACGCUGGCGGCGUGCUUAACACAUGCAAGUCGAACGGAGAGGCCCUGCUUUUGUGGGGUGCUCGAGUGGCGAACGGGUGAGUAACACGUGAGUAACCUGCCCUUGACUUUGGGAUAACUUCAGGAAACUGGGGCUAAUACCGGAUAGGAGCCCCUGCUGCAUGGUGGGGGUUGGAAAGUUUCGGCGGUUGGGGAUGGACUCGCGGCUUAUCAGCUUGUUGGUGGGGUAGUGGCUUACCAAGGCUUUGAGGGGUAGCCGGCCUGAGAGGGUGACCGGCCAAAUUGGGACGGGGAACCGGCCCGAAGUCAACCGGGAGCAAGGGGGGGGGAAAUUUGCAAAAGGGGCGGAGGCCGGAGCGAGCAACGCCGGGUGCGGAAUGACGGCUUUCGGGUUGUAACCCGUUUUCGCCUGGGUCGAAGCGUGAGGGAGGGUAAUGGGAAAAGAAGCACCGGCAAACCACGG
RNAcentral lists this ribosomal RNA (467 nucleotides) under uncultured bacterium. RNAcentral's name for it is "partial 16S ribosomal RNA". It matches the Rfam family "Bacterial small subunit ribosomal RNA", at positions 28 to 506 of the family's 1533-position model. The record is from RNAcentral.